Molecule: ribosomal RNA, 419 nt
Filed under: uncultured prokaryote
Description: bacterial SSU rRNA
Rfam family: Bacterial small subunit ribosomal RNA
Source: RNAcentral
CCAACGGGGGGCAGCAGUAGGGAAUAUUAGUAAUGGGCGAAAGCCUGAACUAGCAACACCGCGUGUGCGAAGAAUGCCUUCGGGUUGUAAAGCACUUUUUGAGAGGAUGAGGAAGGACGGUACUCUCAGAAUAAGUCUCGGCUACCUACGUGCCAGCAGCCGCGGUAACACGUAGGAGGCACAAGUUAUCCGGAUUUACUGGGCGUAAAGCGCGGGUAGGUGGUUUGGUAAGUAGAGCGUGAAAGCUCCUGGCUCAACUGGGAGAGGUCGUUCUAAACUGCCGGACUAGAGGAUGGUAGAGGGAGGUGGAAGUCCGGGUGUAGCGGUGGAAUGCGCAGAUAUCCGGAGGAACACCAGUGGCGAAAGCGGCCUCCUGGACCACUCCUGACACUCAGACGCGAAAGCUAGGGUAGCAAACG